This is a long non-coding RNA of Chanos chanos (milkfish), 868 nucleotides long. RefSeq lists it as uncharacterized. The transcript has 3 exons. Lineage: Eukaryota; Metazoa; Chordata; Actinopteri; Gonorynchiformes; Chanidae. The record is from RefSeq and is a predicted model, not a curated record.
CACAACUCCAUGGAAUUUAGCCCUCUGAGAAAACACAGUGCAUAAAAUUGUAUUACUACUGGGUAUAUGGAACAGGUGUGAGGAAGGUCGCCGACUGGUUAAAUUUUAAAGAUGAGAGACGCAAGUAUUGCAAGGUGACCUACUCCUUGGUUAGCCGCAAGCCAACGGGAAGUGAAUAUAUCGUGUAUCUAACUGCGCCCUCAACCAGCCUAGGUCGAAAACAGACAUUUUGACUCGGACAAACACAUCGAGGGAGAAUGAUGAUGAGAGGCAGUGACAAAGGUCCUCAAGGUGGUCCUCUCGGUAUGCUGAGGCAUAUUGUGAAACUUCAAAACUUUUGAGCCCAGGAGAAGAGGGGAGAGGGAGAGAGAAACAUACCAGAGAUAAGAAGGACGACUGAGCGGUGGUUGUGUCUCAGGACAAAGGAGGAUGUAAACGAGGCUCAGGCACUAAUGAGUGGUUUAGGUGGUGACCUGAGGGAGGAUCCAGGCAAUAUUAAGAGAAAUAUUGUAGAACUCUCGAACAUUCUGUGAAGGCUCCUCCCUGCGGUUCCUGUUGUAAGUUGCCUAACAACAGAAAAUUGAACUCUUUUAUGUGAUUUGUAACAACCGGUACAUAAAAGUUUUCAAUUCUUCUCGCGCGCAGUAUAUUCCGCUGCCACAUGUAGUGACGAGAGGUGCAUCUUCUCACCCGCGCUAGAACUUCUGUUUUGGGACGCCAAGGAAAUGAUGCGGACUUCCUAUAAGGGCUACACGCAAAACUUGAAGAAUAAGCUAAACGUCAGUGGUUAUCUCCUGCCAAGGAAUGAAAGACGAUGAAGUUCUGGUUUGACUUUGUCAGUCAGAAGGCCUGAUUGGAGGUUACCUGC